AUUGAACGCUGGCGGCAGGCCUAACACAUGCAAGUCGAACGGUAACAGGAAACAGCUUGCUGUUUCGCUGACGAGUGGCGGACGGGUGAGUAAUGUCUGGGAAACUGCCUGAUGGAGGGGGAUAACUACUGGAAACGGUAGCUAAUACCGCAUAACGUCGCAAGACCAAAGAGGGGGACCUUCGGGCCUCUUGCCAUCGGAUGUGCCCAGAUGGGAUUAGCUAGUAGGUGGGGUAACGGCUCACCUAGGCGACGAUCCCUAGCUGGUCUGAGAGGAUGACCAGCCACACUGGAACUGAGACACGGUCCAGACUCCUACGGGAGGCAGCAGUGGGGAAUACUGCACAAUGGGCGCAAGCCUGAUGCAGCCAUGCCGCGUGUAUGAAGAAGGCCUUCGGGUUGUAAAGUACUUUCAGCGGGGAUGAAGGGAGUAAAGUUAAUACCUUUGCUCAUUGACGUUACCCGCAGAAGAAGCACCGGCUAACUCCGUG
Molecule: ribosomal RNA, 490 nt
Filed under: uncultured bacterium
Lineage: Bacteria
Description: partial 16S ribosomal RNA
Rfam family: Bacterial small subunit ribosomal RNA
Source: RNAcentral